UCAGACGUGGUGCACGGUGCGCAUCUGCCCUCAGUUGUAAUUCAAUCCUCUGCUCUUGAAAGCAAAGGAACGGGGUUCGACUCCCCGCGUCUGAA
Mycena crocata is the source of this 95-nucleotide non-coding RNA. The record is from the annotation of a GenBank genome assembly. Lineage: Eukaryota; Fungi; Basidiomycota; Agaricomycetes; Agaricales; Mycenaceae.